This 30-nucleotide non-coding RNA is filed under the name Mus musculus (house mouse). Lineage: Eukaryota; Metazoa; Chordata; Mammalia; Rodentia; Muridae. The record is from RNAcentral.
UAUGGCCUUCAGUGUUGGUUGCCUCUUGGU